Molecule: ribosomal RNA, 253 nt
Filed under: uncultured bacterium
Lineage: Bacteria
Description: partial 16S ribosomal RNA
Rfam family: Bacterial small subunit ribosomal RNA
Source: RNAcentral
UACGUAGGUGGCAAGCGUUGUCCGGAAUUAUUGGGCGUAAAGCGCGCGCAGGUGGUUUCUUAAGUCUGAUGUGAAAGCCCACGGCUCAACCGUGGAGGGUCAUUGGAAACUGGGGAACUUGAGUGCAGAAGAGGAAAGUGGAAUUCCAAGUGUAGCGGUGAAAUGCGUAGAGAUGUGGAGGAACACCAGUGGCGAAGGCGGCUUUCUGGUCUGUAACUGACGCUGAGGCGCGAAAGCGUGGGGAGCAAACAGG